AUUUUAACGCUGGACGGCAGGCCUWACACAUGCAAGUCGAACGGUAGCACAGNAGNAGCUUGCUCUCGGGUGACGAGUGGCGGACGGGUGAGUAAUGUCUGGGAAACUGCCUGAUGGAGGGGGAUAACUACUGGAAACGGURGCUAAUACCGCAUAACGUCGCAAGACCAAAGAGGGGGACCUUCGGGCCUCUUGCCAUCAGAUGUGCCCAGAUGGGAUUAGCUAGUAGGUGGGGUAAUGGCUCACCUAGGCGACGAUCCCUAGCUGGUCUGAGAGGAUGACCAGCCACACUGGAACUGAGACACGGUCCAGACUCCUACGGGAGGCAGCAGUGGGGAAUAUUGCACAAUGGGCGCAAGCCUGAUGCAGCCAUGCCGCGUGUAUGAAGAAGGCCUUCGGGUUGUAAAGUACUUUCAGCGGGGAGGAAGGUGUUGUGGUUMAUAACCGCAGCAAUUGACGUUACCCGCAGAAGAAGCACCGGCUAACUCCSUGCCAGCAGCCGCGGUAAUACGGAGGGUGCAAGCGUUAAUCGGAAUUACUGGGCGUAAAGCGCACGCAGGCGGUCUGUCAAGUCGGAUGUGAAAUCCCCGGGCUCAACCUGGGAACUGCAUUCGMAACUGCGCAGGCUAGAGUCUUGUAGAGGGGGGUAGAAUUNCCAGGUGUAGCGGUGAAAUGCGUAGAGAUCUGSAGGAAUMCCGGUGGCGAAGGCGGCCCCCUGGACAAAGACUGACGUCAGGUGCGAAAGCGUGGGGAGCAAACGA
RNAcentral lists this ribosomal RNA (761 nucleotides) under Enterobacter sp. CbB2. RNAcentral describes it as "bacterial SSU rRNA". It matches the Rfam family "Bacterial small subunit ribosomal RNA", at positions 28 to 775 of the family's 1533-position model. Lineage: Bacteria; Pseudomonadati; Pseudomonadota; Gammaproteobacteria; Enterobacterales; Enterobacteriaceae. The record is from RNAcentral.